CCUACGGGAGGCAGCAGUAAGGAAUAUGGUCAAUGGACGCAAGUCUGAACCAGCCAUGCCGCGUGGAGGAUGAAGGUCCUCUGGAUUGUAAACUUCUUUUAUUUGGGAAGAAACCUCUCUAUUCCUAGAGAGUUGACGGUACCAAGUGAAUAAGCACCGGCUAACUCCGUGCCAGCAGCCGCGGUAAUACGGAGGGUGCAAGCGUUAUCCGGAUUCACCGGGUUUAAAGGGUGCGUAGGCGGGCUUGUAAGUCCGUGGUGAAAUCUCUGAGCUUAACUCGGAAACUGCCAUGGAUACUAUAGGCCUUGAAUUCUGUGGAGGUUUGCGGAAUAUGUCAUGUAGCGGUGAAAUGCUUAGAUAUGACAUAGAACACCGAUUGCGAAGGCAGCAGGCUACACAGCGAUUGACGCUGAGGCACGAAAGCGUGGGGAUCAAACAGGAUUAGAUACCCUGGUAGUCCACGCCCUAAACGAUGAUNACUCGACAUNNCGCGAUACACAGUGUGUGUCUGAGCGAAAGCAUUAAGUAAUCCACCUGGGNAAGUACGACCGCCAGGUUGAAACUCAAAGGAAUUGACGG
RNAcentral lists this ribosomal RNA (579 nucleotides) under uncultured Sphingobacteriales bacterium. RNAcentral describes it as "bacterial SSU rRNA". It matches the Rfam family "Bacterial small subunit ribosomal RNA", at positions 338 to 916 of the family's 1533-position model. Lineage: Bacteria; Pseudomonadati; Bacteroidota; Sphingobacteriia; Sphingobacteriales. The record is from RNAcentral.